AAAAAGCUUCAAACUGGGAUUAGAUACCCCACUAUGCCAAAUCGUAAAAAUUUAAUCUACACCAACCAACGCCAGGGUACUACGAGCUUUAGCUUAAAACCCAAAGGACUUGGCGGUGUCCCACCCAACUAGAGGAGCCUGUUCUGUAAUCGAUGAUCCACGAUACACCUAACCACUUCUUGCCAAUCAGCCUGUAUACCUCCGUCGUAAGCUUACCGUGUGAACGCGCAACAGUAGGCCCAAGGGCUUUAACGCCAUAACGUCAGGUCAAGGUGCAGCUCAUGAGGUGGAAGCUAUGGGCUACAAUUUCUAAUCUAGAACAAACGAAAUACUACAUGAAACAUAGUCAUGAAGGCGGAUUUAGUAGUAAGUAGGAAAUAGAGAGUCCUACUAAACUCGGCCCUGGGACGUGUACACACCGCCCGUCACCCUC
Molecule: ribosomal RNA, 433 nt
Filed under: Rhacophorus reinwardtii (Reinwardt's flying frog)
Lineage: Eukaryota; Metazoa; Chordata; Amphibia; Anura; Rhacophoridae
Description: partial 12S ribosomal RNA
Rfam family: Bacterial small subunit ribosomal RNA
Source: RNAcentral